Molecule: transfer RNA, 69 nt
Filed under: Symplanella brevicephala
Lineage: Eukaryota; Metazoa; Arthropoda; Insecta; Hemiptera; Caliscelidae
Description: tRNA-Met
Source: RNAcentral
AAAAAGAUAAGCUAAUUAUAAGCUAAUGGGCUCAUAACCCAUUUAUGAAUAAAUAAUAUUCUCUUUUUA